GAUGAACGCUGGCGGCGUGCUUAACACAUGCAAGUCGAACGGAAAGGCCCUGCUUGCCGGGUGCUCGAGUGGCGAACGGGUGAGUAACACGUGGGUGAUCUGCCCUGUACUUUGGGAUAAGCCUGGUAAACUGGGUCUAAUCCCGAUCAUGACCCUUGUUUGGCUGCGAUUGUGGAAAGCUUUUGCGGUAUGGGAUGAGCUCGCGGCCUAUCAGCGUGUUGGUGGGGUAAUGGCCUACCAAGGCGUCGACGGGUGGCCGUCCUGAGAGGGUGUCCGGCCACAUUGGGACUGAGAUACGGCCCAGACUCCGACGGGAGGCAGCAGUGGGGAAUAUUGCACAAUGGGGGCAAGCCUGAGGCAGCGACGCCGCGUGGGGGAUGACGGCCUUCGGGUUGUAAACUCCUUUCGCAACCGACGAAGCCUUUUGGUGACGGUAGGUGGAGAAGAAGCACCGGCUAACUACGUG
RNAcentral lists this ribosomal RNA (466 nucleotides) under uncultured bacterium. Its description in RNAcentral is "partial 16S ribosomal RNA". It matches the Rfam family "Bacterial small subunit ribosomal RNA", at positions 28 to 507 of the family's 1533-position model. The record is from RNAcentral.